Molecule: small RNA, 520 nt
Filed under: Pongo abelii (Sumatran orangutan)
Lineage: Eukaryota; Metazoa; Chordata; Mammalia; Primates; Hominidae
Description: processed transcript
Source: RNAcentral
AAUGGUCACUGGCUUAAUAUGAUUAACUUUUUUUUCCAUUCUCAUUUUACAGUUCCUGAUGAAUAUUUGUUAUCGCUGAAGUUUCUCUUUGGCUCAUCAGCCACCCAGGCCUUGGACCUAGUUGAUCGACAGUCCAUCACCUUAAUCUCAUCACCCAGUGGAAGGCGUGUUUACCAGGUACUUGGAAGUUCUGGUAAAACAUACACAUGUUUGGCUUCUUGUCAUUACUGUUCAUGUCCUGCAUUUGCCUUCUCAGUGCUACGGAAGAGUGACAGCAUCCUGUGCAAGCAUCUCUUGGCAGUUUACCUUAGUCAGGUCAUGAGGACCUGUCAGCAGCUAAGUGUCUCCGACAAGCAGUUGACUGACAUAUUAUUGAUGGAGAAGAAACAAGAAGCAUAAAAGGUACAGAUUGAGCAUCAUUCUUUCAAAAUAGAAUCCUGUCAAGAAUGCAUUUAAAACAUCAUGAUUCACACGGAAAAGAGGUGAAAUGGAUCUUCAGACACUUCAUGUUACUGUCCCU